CAGACACUAGGAAAAGUGCACAUCUUGAAGUAGCUUGUAUCUGCUCAAUGAUUUUAACCCCGCCCUCCACCCAAAAACACACUUUACAAAGUGCAGUUUGUUUGCAAUGUAUCCUUCCACUGUAAGAAGUAGCUCCCAAUAAUGAAAAAAUAGUGAACCGUUAUAUACACCUUUUCUCUACUGUCCUAAAUUACAGGUGACAUUUUGGAGAAUUAGGAAUAUUUAAAUUUCAUUACUUCCAUUCAUGCCCCUGAAGCUUUUUCCAUACUCUUUGUCAAUGAAGUUAGCAAAGGUGAUUUGUGAGAAGUUAUCCAUCUUUGGAUACAAUUUGUUUGAGAGCUUAAGGGCAUUUUCUGCUCCUUCAGUUUUACUUCAUAUCUUUAUGAUUUUUGCAGUAUAAGCAAACUAUCGAGAACUGGAUGAUGAUUACUGCCUUCAGGUGAUUAAACAAAGUGCUCCUUGUGAAAAUCCUUCAGUUAUGAUUGAAAAAGUGUGCUCUUUCAGAAGACCUUUACUACAAGAAAUGUUUGGGUAAAAUACAACCAAAACAAAGCUUUCCAUUCAAACUCAAAAGGCUGUUUGAGCUCGUCCUCCACUUUUACUUUUUGAGGAACACUUCCUGAUUAGUUAUCAGAAAAUUAAAUUACAUCCAAAGCAUUAGAUUUUACUGUAUUCUCAUUAACAUAGUUUCACCCUCUACCAAAAAAAGGACAGUGAGCUAUAUGGGUUUUCACAGUACUUCCAUUCCUCAGGCAGC
Long non-coding RNA from Chelonoidis abingdonii (Abingdon island giant tortoise), 757 nucleotides. RefSeq lists it as uncharacterized. The record is from RefSeq and is a predicted model, not a curated record. Lineage: Eukaryota; Metazoa; Chordata; Testudines; Testudinidae.